Long non-coding RNA from Ruditapes philippinarum (Manila clam), 3968 nucleotides. RefSeq lists it as uncharacterized. NCBI's taxonomy places the organism in Eukaryota, Metazoa, Mollusca, Bivalvia, Venerida, Veneridae. The transcript has 2 exons. The record is from RefSeq and is a predicted model, not a curated record.
CUGUAGACAGGAGGAGGUAACUCUAUCAAGCAUUUUGACAGAAUUAUGCCCCUUUUUCGACUUAGAAUUUACGUUAAAGUUUUUGUAAUAGUUCAAAUAUUUUCAAAGUCCAUAGACAUAUGGCUUUGAAACUUUGCACACUUGUUCACCAUCAUGACCCCAACCUGUAAACAGGAGGAGGUAACUCUAUCAAGCAUUUUGACAGAAUUAUGCCCCUUUUUCGACUUAGAAUUUACGUUUAAGUUUUUGUAAUAGUUCAAAUAUUUUCAAAGUCCAUUGACAUAUGGCUUUGAAACUUUGCACACUUGUUCAACAUCAUGACCCCAACCUGUAAACAGGAGGAGGUAACUCUAUCAAGCAUUUUGACAGAAUUAUGCCCCUUUUUUGACUUAGAAUUUACGUUAAAGUUUUUGUAAUAGUUCAAAUAUUUUCAAAGUCCAUUGACAUAUGGCUUUGAAACUUUGCACACUUGUUCACCAUCAUGACCCCAACCUGUAAACAGGAGGAGGUAACUCUAUCAAGCAUUUUUUUUACUAUCAAGCACUAAGAAUAGUCAAGCGUUGCUGUCCUACUGACAGCUCUUGUUUGAAAUAUUGCUACUGACAAGAAUCUGAGCCGGGGGCAUUUGUGUUUAACAAACACGUUCUUGUUAUUUGAUGUUUCAGUGUUGCUAAUAUUAUAUAUUAUUUAUAAUUAAAAUGUAUUGUUUUUGCUUACAUAACUUUCCUUGUGUGGACAGGAAUUUGAGAUCCACAUGUGGAGCAGGUUAUCAGACAUUUUUAACAAAUGAUUUAUUUUAAUCAAAUAAAACUUACAAAAAGCUAUGCUGCCAUGGUAACAGUUUAUUUUAAAGAGAAUAUACGGUGCACAUAAUGAUAUGCAACACAUAUUAAUAUACAAAACAUUAUUAUCACAAUAAAAUUAUUAUCCAUGCAAAAAAGUGGCCAAACUUGUUCUGGUGAAAUUUGAGUAAGAUAUGGUAGAAUAUUAAAGAAAAGUUGAUCAAGAUCAACUAUAUUUAUGAAAAAUAAUUUUGAAAAUUGUUGUGGUAAAAAUGUCUCUCUGUGUAUUCAUGAAUAUCUUACUUUUUAUUUGCUUCCAGAAAAAAAAGACAUUUCAUGGUUAUGGAUAUUAUAUUUGCCAAGGCAUAGCUCGCUAGUUUUAUUGUUUUUGCUGUAUUUUUAACAGUUGUUGAAGCUGAAUGCAUGGUUACAUUAGAUCAAUUUUAUACACAUUUAUAAUACUGCACGUUUGUAAAGCUGCUUUUCAUAAGAUAAUUGUGACGUUUAUAUAGUUUUAUAUACACUGUUGCUCUCAAUUUAUGAAGAAAUCUCAUUUUUUUCCCUUAAAAAGAACUGAUGCUUGCUGUAUUAUAAAUUUGUUAUAAAUAUUUCUGACAGGUUAUAUGACCGUAUAUAAACAGUUGUUUCAAAUAUAACCCUCGCCUAGCAGCUUAGGUUAUAUUUACAAACAACCGUUCGUAUAGGGCUAUAUUACUUGUAAAAAUCUUUAUAACUAAUAAUAUAAGACAUUGGUCAAAAUGGGCAUAAAUGAAUUUUAACUUUUAUUUAUAAUGAUUUGAUCACAUUUUAUGUGGACAUAGAUAAAUGUUUAUUCAUUUCUCAAGUACUUUACAGACAAUUGUAUAUAUUAGACUAAUUAUUAGCUGUAUAUAUGGAUUUUAUGAUGUGAAAAUAGGAACAAAAUGUUGCCUUACCUUUUUAUGCAUAUGAGAGAGUUCUAUAUUUUUACAUGUGAAUCGGAAAAAAAUUCUUCAGUAUAUUUUUAUUAAUGAGAGUACGACAGACUGCCUUGUCAUUUACAUAUAAAAGAAAGACUGCUGUAUAGUUUUACAUACUGUACAAGUAUGAAAGACUAUCUUACCUUUUUUGACAUAAAAAUGAUGUAUAACUUAAAGAAAUAAAAUGUCCUGUAAGUUUACAAGUGACUCACUGUAUAUGUAAUUUUUUCAUAUUUCUGAUGAAGUUGGCAUGUAUAUUAUAUUGUUGUAUUAUGAUGCUAUAUAUAUUCAGACCUUACCAUGUUCUCCCCAUAAGUUCAUUCCUCGCUUUUGUAAGGGAAUGUUUUAUACUAAAUUAAUGAUACACAAAGCUGUCUGUUAAUGUUUCACACUGUACAUCUCAGGGAACAUGUUUCAAACUGUACAUUAGCAAGGUACAUGUUUCACAUUGUACAUUACCAAGGUACAUGUUUCACACUGCACAUCACCAAGGUACAUGUUUCACAUUGUACAUUACCAAGGAACAUGUUUCACACUGUACGUUACCAAGGAACAUGUUUCACACUGCACAUCACCAAGGAACAUGUUUCACACUGCACAUCACCAAGGAACAUGUUUCACACUGCACAUCACCAAGGUACAUGCUUAUACACUGUACAUUACCAAGGUACAUGUUUCUUACUGUACAUUACCAAGGUACAUGUUUCACAUUGUACAUUACCAAGGUACAUGUUUCACAUUGUACAUUACCAAGGUACAUGUUUCACACUGUACGUUACCAAGGAACAUGUUUCACACUGUACGUUACCAAGGAACAUGUUUAAUUGUACAUUAACAAGGAACAUUGCGUCUCAACUGUUGAAUCCUCUUGUAACAUCGUCUCAAGCAGUUUUUGCUGACUAUGCAAUUCUUUCUGGUGUAUUAUUUGUUAUCAUUUAUUGUCAUCAAAAUUAGUAAAAGAUUUGCUUGUUAGACUAUUAACUAUAAAUGAGCAAGGCUAACACUAUUCACUCCAUAUGGAAGGUCAUACUAGGGCUUUUUAAAUGUAUGACUCAUCAUGAUGGUUAGUUGGUUUUGGGAUAUGUGCAUGGGAUUGUUGCACCCACAUCCUUACAGCAGAAAAUUACCAAUGUUCUCAUUGUUUAAAAGCAUAUGAAUUAGGAGUACAUCUACUGGAAAUGUUCAUGCAUGAUCUUGGUCAGUCUUAUUACACUGAUGUGCCAUACAAUUUUAAUACUAAUUAUUACAAAAUAAUAUAUAUUUAGCUCCGUUGAGCACAUGGUGCUUAUUUGAGCCCCUUUAGAGCGAUGGCUGUCUGUAAUCUUCAUCCUUCACCCACAAUUGUUUCAAUUGAUAUCUUCUCUAAAAGUACUUGACCAAAUUUUAAAAUAAUGGACUGAGAUAUUCUUUGGAUUCAGCUAUACCAAAGACUUGAAGAUAUUUUUUGGCCAUCAAAGUCAAAAAAGCUAAUUAUAGAUUUACAAGGGUGUCUACACUGCCUUUGUGGAUAGGCAAAUAUGUAAAAUUAUUGAUACUUCAUAUUUUGUAUAAAGUUAAUUUUGAAGAACAUCUAAAAUUUACAUUUUAACACGCUUCACACUAUACCUGAUCAAACAGAUAGGGUAGUCAAGUGUAUCAUUACACAAAAUAUGCACAUCAUAAAAAAGGAAUGCUUGCACGUCAUAUGAUGUUAAUUAACCAAAUGAUGUCAAGAAAAUUACUUCUACGCUUAAUGUAGUUCAACAUAUUUCUAUCAAUUCCCUUUUUUAAAUGGCACAUUACAAUGGAAAUACAUAUUAAUUUUUCUUGCAUUAUAAUAUGAUAAAGCUGGGUUUGUCAUUCAAGUGCUUUGUAAUUAAUCACUUUGGCCUGUUGGCCUCUGUGAUUGUACUCUACUCAUUUUUGACUUUAACUGUGCAUUACACCUAAAAUUGAAAUCUAUUUCGUAAAUCAUUACUCAGAAGAGCAAUAUGAAGGUCAUCAUGACUAAAUUGUUACUUUAGGUAGUAGGUCCAUUUGAAAUAGUCAUUCUUGAUGGAAUCCAAUCAUUUUCAGAUUAAUCUCAAAAGAUGAUUAUUUAAAAAUUAAUUUCUUUAAUGUAAUUUAAGUAUCAGUCUGCUAUAUGUUUGGAAAUUUCACAUUAUUUUUUUUACAGAUUGAUGUAUUGUUUUGUUGGACUUUGAAAUAAAGUGCUGCCAUAUACUGAAAUAAAGCUACUAUCAAAUUA